GUCGGCAUACGAGUAAAAUGCCCUGAUUGCGGUGAAAACAUUCUGUCCUGUGACAGCAGAGAGCAUUCUGCCACCCAUCUACGGGAUGACAAUUUUUUUUUGUCCAGAAGGGGCAAAAAUAACCUACGAAAG
Long non-coding RNA from Daphnia pulicaria, 132 nucleotides. RefSeq lists it as uncharacterized. The record is from RefSeq and is a predicted model, not a curated record. The transcript is spliced from 2 exons. Lineage: Eukaryota; Metazoa; Arthropoda; Branchiopoda; Diplostraca; Daphniidae.